AUUUUUGAUAUUGCUGCUGUCUUGUGGUUUCAAUAGCAUGUGUUUUUAAAGAGAAAAUAUUAUUUUCAUGCUGAUUUUCAUUUGGUUUUUUAAAUUGAAUAUCAAUUAUGGAAAUGAGCUUUGUGAUUUUCGUAAUUGAUUGUUUUUCAAACAAACACUUCAUCAUAUAAACAUUCUGCAUGAUCGAGUUAGCAUCCUGCAAAGUUCGAGGGAAAGGUGAUUGACGGCUGCGUUAGUGUCGUGCCACUUCAACUCGAAGACUGAAGAAAGAUCGAGUAGCAAAGCGCGGAGACAAAGCUGCCAACUGGUAAGGACAGCAAUGUUAAUGGUUCAGGGUGGGGAGUCCUAAUCACUUUUAGCAUAAUAUGCGCGGAGCCACAUGUUUGCUGUUUGUGUUGGUUUUUAAUUUGGGCUAGAGAAACCUAAAUUCAACCACAAACCCCUGACGAAACAAAGGCCCAAGCUAACGCAAGUGAUAGAGAAAGGCCCUACCAAGAAAUAACCGUCCCACGUUAUGAAGGGAGACAAGAACUUGAAGCCUCUCUAAAAAUCGGCCAACAAGCGGCUGUUAUGGUUUACAAAUUCCAGUUUCAUAUUGUGAUCGCCCAAAUAUGAUGAAGUCACCGUAAUACCUAGGGCUGGUUCGGGAGAAAUUUUUAGUUGUGACGGAAACACAAGUAGUACAUCACGUGUUUUAAUAGCAAUUGUGAAAAGUUUUAUUUUUAAGUUAUUAAUUUUUUAGCACACAUAUCCCACAAUUCGUUUAGUGACAUGUGAUGUACUAACCCGUGUAUCGAUUACAUUGAAAAAUCUCUCCUGAUUCGGGCCAGAA
Malus domestica (apple) is the source of this 832-nucleotide non-coding RNA. The record is from RefSeq and is a predicted model, not a curated record. NCBI's taxonomy places the organism in Eukaryota, Viridiplantae, Streptophyta, Magnoliopsida, Rosales, Rosaceae.